GAUGAAGAACGUAGUGAAAUGCGAUAAGUAAUGUGAAUUGCAGAAUUCAGUGAAUCAUCGAAUCUUUGAACGCACAUUGCGCCCGCGAGUAUUCUCGCGGGCAUGCCUGUCCGAGCGUCAUUUCAACCCUCAGGGCCCGCCUGCUUCGGCAGGCGCGGCGCUGGUGUUGGGGAUCGGCCUAACCGCCGUCCCCCAAAUACAGUGGCGGUCUCGCUGCAGCCUCCCCUGCGUAGUAGCAACACUCGCAUGCGGAGCGCGGCGCGGCCACGCCGUAAAACCCCCGACUUUCUGAACGUUGACCUCGGAUCAGGUAGGAAUACCCGCUGAGCUUAAGCAUAUCAAUAAGCGGAGGA
This 353-nucleotide unclassified non-coding RNA is filed under the name soil metagenome. Its description in RNAcentral is "partial contains 5.8S ribosomal RNA, internal transcribed spacer 2, and large subunit ribosomal RNA". The stretch from base 1 to 120 matches the Rfam family "5.8S ribosomal RNA", at positions 35 to 154 of the family's 154-position model. The record is from RNAcentral.